CCCUAGUAACGGCGAGUGAAGCGGCAACAGCUCAAAUUUGAAAUCUGGCUCCUUCGGGGUCCGAGUUGUAAUUUGCAGAGGAUGCUUCGGGUGCGGGUUCCUUCCGAGUUCCCUGGAACGGGACGCCAUAGAGGGUGAGAGCCCCGUCUGGUCGGAAACCCAGCCCAUGUGAAGCUCCCUCGACGAGUCGAGUAGUUUGGGAAUGCUGCUCUAACGGGAGGUAUACUCCUUCCAAAGCUAAAUACCGGCUGGAGACCGAUAGCGCACAAGUAGAGUGAUCGAAAGAUGAAAAGCACUUUGAAAAGAGAGUCAAAUAGCACGUGAAAUUGCUGAAAGGGAAGCGCUUGCUACCAGACUUGGGUUGGGCGGUUCAUCCGGCGCCACGCGCCGGUGCACUCCGCCUGCCCAGGCCAGCAUCAGCUUUCCGUCGGGGGCAAAGACGUCGGGAAUGUGGCUCCCCCUCGGGGGAGUGUUAUAGCCCGGCGUGUCAUACCCGGCGGGGGGCUGAGGUACGCGCUCCGCAAGGAU
RNAcentral lists this ribosomal RNA (528 nucleotides) under Brunneomyces brunnescens. RNAcentral describes it as "LSU rRNA". It matches the Rfam family "Eukaryotic large subunit ribosomal RNA", at positions 78 to 624 of the family's 3401-position model. Lineage: Eukaryota; Fungi; Ascomycota; Sordariomycetes; Glomerellales; Plectosphaerellaceae. The record is from RNAcentral.